RNAcentral lists this ribosomal RNA (913 nucleotides) under uncultured marine archaeon. RNAcentral describes it as "bacterial SSU rRNA". It matches the Rfam family "Archaeal small subunit ribosomal RNA", at positions 1 to 921 of the family's 1478-position model. The record is from RNAcentral.
UUCCGGUUGAUCCUGCCGGACCUGACUGCUAUCGGAUUGAUACUAAGCCAUGCGAGUCUUUGCAGUAAUGCAAGGCAUACGGCUCAGUAACACGUAGUCAACUUACCCUAUGGACGAGGAUAAUCUCGGGAAACUGAGCAUAAUACUCGAUAGAUCAUAAUGCCUGGAAUGGUUUAUGGUUGAAAUGAUUCGUCGCCAUAGGAUGGGACUGCGGCCUAUCAGCUUGUUGGUGAGGUAAUGGCCCACCAAGGCGAUUACAGGUACGGGCUCUGAGAGGAGAAGCCCGGAGAUGGGUACUGAGACAAGGACCCAGGCCCUAUGGGGCGCAGCAGGCGAGAAAACUUUGCAAUGUGCGAAAGCACGACAAGGUUAAUCCGAGUGAUUUCUGCUAAAGAAAUCUUUUGCAAGUCAUAAAACCACUAGUGAAUAAGGGGUGGGCAAGUUCUGGUGUCAGCCGCCGCGGUAAAACCAGCACCUCAAGUGGUCAGGAGGAUUAUUGGGCCUAAAGCAUCCGUAGCCGGCUCUGUAAGUUUUCGGUUAAAUCCAUGUGCUCAACGCAUGGGCUGCCGAAAAUACUGCAUAGCUAGGGAGUGGGAGAGGUAGACGGUACUCAGUAGGAAGGGGUAAAAUCCUUUGAUCUAUUGAUGACCACCUGUGGCGAAGGCGGUCUACCAGAACAUGUUCGACGGUGAGGGAUGAAAGCUGGGGGAGCAAACCGGAUUAGAUACCCGGGUAGUCCCAGCUGUAAACGAUGCAGACUAGAUAAUGCACUGGCACAUAGCCAGUGCAGUGUCUCAGGGAAGCCGUUAAGUCUGCCGCCUGGGAAGUACGUACGCAAGUAUGAAACUUAAAGGAAUUGGCGGGGGAGCACCACAAGGGGUGAAGCCUGCGGUUCAAUUGGAUUCAACGCCGG